UGGAUCAAGAUUAUACCAACCUCAGGAUUGAGGUUAUCCUGCAAAAUACCGAUCUCUCCGUAUUUGAAAUUCUGAAGAUCUUCAAAGUAUUAUUAAUAAAAAAUGCUCCUAUGAGUUUAUUCUUGCACAUUAUCUUCUAAUAUAUGAAAAUUCAAUCUCCGAAUUGGUAGAGCUCCAAAGGACAGAAAAGGAGAUAAGAUCUCUCUAAAUCCAAUCUCCAGAUUGGAAGAGCUCCAAGAGGCACAAAUAGAGAUAAGAUCUUUUAAGUAUCGAUCUACGAAUAAAUAUUAUCUUUCAGCUCAUAUAGAUACCAAUCU
This 317-nucleotide long non-coding RNA is filed under the name Elaeis guineensis (African oil palm). RNAcentral's name for it is "long non-coding RNA (EGUI_LNC022304)". The record is from RNAcentral. Lineage: Eukaryota; Viridiplantae; Streptophyta; Magnoliopsida; Arecales; Arecaceae.